This 447-nucleotide ribosomal RNA is filed under the name uncultured bacterium. RNAcentral's name for it is "bacterial SSU rRNA". It matches the Rfam family "Bacterial small subunit ribosomal RNA", at positions 28 to 477 of the family's 1533-position model. The record is from RNAcentral.
GACGAACGCUGGCGGCGUGCUUAACACAUGCAAGUCGAACGAUGAAAUUCUGACGGAGGCUUCGGCCAACUGAGGGAUGGAUUAGUGGCGGACGGGUGAGUAACGCGUGAGUAACCUGCCUUUCAGAGUGGAAUAACAUUUGGAAACGAAUGGUAAUACCGCAUAACGUCAUGGGACCGCAUGAUCCUAUGACCAAAGGAGCAAUCCGCUGAAAGAUGGACUCGCGUCCGAUUAGCUAGUUGGUGAGGUAACGGCUCACCAAGGCGACGAUCAGUAGCCGGUCUGAGAGGAUGAACGGCCACAUUGGGACUGAGAUACGGCCCAGACUCCUACGGGAGGCAGCAGUGGGGAAUAUUGGGCAAUGGGGGAAACCCUGACCCAGCAACGCCGCGUGAAGGAAGAAGGCCUCGGUGUAACUCUUUACCUAGGACGAAGAACGUGACGGUA